This 301-nucleotide ribosomal RNA is filed under the name uncultured bacterium. Its description in RNAcentral is "partial 16S ribosomal RNA". It matches the Rfam family "Bacterial small subunit ribosomal RNA", at positions 509 to 807 of the family's 1533-position model. The record is from RNAcentral.
CAGUAGCCGCGGUAAUACGAAGGGUGCAAGCGUUAAUCGGAAUUACUGGGCGUAAAGCGUGCGUAGGCGGUGAGUUAAGUCUGCUGUGAAAUCCCCGGGCUCAACCUGGGAACUGCAUUUGUGACUGGCAAGCUAGAGUAUGGCAGAGGGGGGUGGAAUUCCGCGUGUAGCAGUGAAAUGCGUAGAUAUGCGGAGGAACACCGAUGGCGAAGGCAGCCCCCUGGGCCAAUACUGACGCUCAUGCACGAAAGCGUGGGGAGCAAACAGGAUUAGAUACCCCCGUAGUCCCUGUCUCUUAUAC